RNAcentral lists this ribosomal RNA (497 nucleotides) under uncultured bacterium. Its description in RNAcentral is "partial 16S ribosomal RNA". It matches the Rfam family "Bacterial small subunit ribosomal RNA", at positions 28 to 507 of the family's 1533-position model. The record is from RNAcentral.
GAUGAACGCUGGCGGCGUGCCUAAUACAUGCAAGUCGAGCGAACAGACGAGGAGCUUGCUCCUCUGACGUUAGCGGCGGACGGCUGAGUAACACGUGGAUAACCUACCUAUAAGACUGGGAUAACUUCGGGAAACCGGAGCUAAUCCCGGAUAAUAUAUUGAACCGCAUGGUUCAAUAGUGAAAGACGGUUUUGCUGUCACUUAUAGAUGGAUCCGCGCCGCAUUAGCUAGUUGGUAAGGUAACGGCUUACCAAGGCGACGAUGCGUAGCCGACCUGAGAGGGUGAUCGGCCACACUGGAACUGAGACACGGUCCAGACUCCUACGGGAGGCAGCAGUAGGGAAUCUUCCGCAAUGGGCGAAAGCCUGACGGAGCAACGCCGCGUGAGUGAUGAAGGUCUUCGGAUCGUAAAACUCUGUUAUAAGGGAAGAACAAAUGUGUAAGUAACUAUGCACGUCUUGACGGUACCUGAUCAGAAAGCCACGGCUAACUACGUG